This 177-nucleotide ribosomal RNA is filed under the name uncultured bacterium. RNAcentral describes it as "partial 16S ribosomal RNA". It matches the Rfam family "Bacterial small subunit ribosomal RNA", at positions 338 to 507 of the family's 1533-position model. The record is from RNAcentral.
CCUACGGGAGGCAGCAGUGGGGAAUUUUGGACAAUGGGCGCAAGCCUGAUCCAGCAAUGCCGCGUGCAGGAUGAAGGCUUUCGGGUUGUAAACUGCUUUUGUACGGAACGAAACGGUCCGCCUUAAUACGGUGGGCUAAUGACGGUACCGUAAGAAUAAGCACCGGCUAACUACGUG